Molecule: ribosomal RNA, 491 nt
Filed under: uncultured bacterium
Lineage: Bacteria
Description: partial 16S ribosomal RNA
Rfam family: Bacterial small subunit ribosomal RNA
Source: RNAcentral
AGUGAACGCUGGCGGUGGGCCUAACACAUGCAAGUCGAACGGCAGCACAGUAAGAGCUUGCUCUACGGGUGGCGAGUGGCGGACGGGAGCGGGAUACUACCGAAUCUACUUUUUCGUGGGGGCUUCCGGAGGGAAACGUUAGCUCAUACCACAUACGCCCUCCGGGUGGAAGGGGUGGGACUUUGGCGCCUGCGCGGUUUGAACAGCCGACGUCGGAGUAGCUUGGUGGCGGGGUAAAGGCCCACCAAGGCGACGAGUCGUAGGUGGUCGGGGGGGAUGAUCAGCGACACUGGAGCUGAGACACGGUCCAGACGCCUACGGGAGGCAGCAGUGUGGAAUAUUGGACAAUGGGCGCAAGCCUGAUCCAGCCAGAGCGCGUGGGUGAAGAAGGCCUUCGGGUUGGAAAGCCGUUUUGUGGGGAAAGAAAAGCAGCAGGUUAAUACCACGCUGUUCUGACGGUACCCAAAGAAUAAGCACCGGCUAACUUCGUG